This 428-nucleotide RNase P RNA is filed under the name Calditrichota bacterium. RNAcentral's name for it is "Calditrichaeota bacterium RNase P RNA component class A". It matches the Rfam family "Bacterial RNase P class A". From Rfam's summary of the family: Ribonuclease P (RNase P) is a ubiquitous endoribonuclease, found in archaea, bacteria and eukarya as well as chloroplasts and mitochondria. Its best characterised activity is the generation of mature 5'-ends of tRNAs by cleaving the 5'-leader elements of precursor-tRNAs. The record is from RNAcentral. Lineage: Bacteria; Pseudomonadati; Calditrichota.
GAAGUUGCCCAGGCGACCGCGUCAGGUCAGCACCUGAUGAGGAAAGUCCGAACUCCACAGGGCAGGACGCUCCGUAACACGGAGGAGGGGUGACCCUACGGAAAGUGUCACAGAAAACACACAGCCGAUGGUCAGGCAUUUGCCUGAAACAGGCGAAGGUGCAAAGGUGAGGUAAGAGCUCACCGUUUUGGCAGCGAUGCCAAAAGCAUGACAAACCCCGUCCGGAGCAAGACCAAAUAAGUUCCGCUAAUCCCGGCCGCGCACGCGGCUGUGGAUUGCAAGGUGGCCCGCCUUGGAUUCUCGCUUCGCCGAGAAUGGCGGAACGGGUAGGUCGCUUGACCCCGUCAGCAAUGGCGGGGCUAGAUAAAUGGUCGCCUCCUCCGGGAGACCGGAGAAGACAGAAUUCGGCUUAUCGGGCAACUUCGGGC